Molecule: ribosomal RNA, 544 nt
Filed under: Cryptophyceae sp. BLA73
Lineage: Eukaryota; Cryptophyceae
Description: SSU rRNA
Rfam family: Eukaryotic small subunit ribosomal RNA
Source: RNAcentral
UAUAUUAAAGUUGUUGCAGUUAAAAAGCUCGUAGUCGGAUGUCGGGCUCGGGCAAGCUGUCGGCCUUUGGUCGGACGGCAGGCUCGGGUCUUUCUGCCUGAGGAACCCGGUUGCUUUAACGAGCUGCCGGUGGACGCAGGUCGUUUACUUUGAAAAAAUUAGAGUGUUCAAAGCAGGCUAGCGCUUGAAUACAUUAGCAUGGAAUAAUGGAAUAGGACUUUGGUGCUAUUUUGUUGGUUUAUGGGACCGAAGUAAUGAUUAACAGGGACAGUUGGGGCCGUUUAUAUUUCGUUGUCAGAGGUGAAAUUCUUGGAUUUACGAAAGAUAAACUUCUGCGAAAGCAUUCGGCAAGGAUGUUUUCAUUGAUCAAGAACGAAAGUUAGGGGAUCGAAGACGAUCAGAUACCGUCGUAGUCUUAACCAUAAACUAUGCCGACUAGGGAUCAGUGGAUGUCAAUUUGCGACUCCAUUGGCACCUUGUGAGAAAUCAAAGUUUUUGGGUUCCGGGGGGAGUAUGGUCGCAAGGCUGAAACUUAAAGGAAUUG